Arachis ipaensis is the source of this 861-nucleotide non-coding RNA. Lineage: Eukaryota; Viridiplantae; Streptophyta; Magnoliopsida; Fabales; Fabaceae. The record is from RefSeq and is a predicted model, not a curated record.
AUAUACUCAAGCUCGAGAGGGAGUGUAAAAGCUCAAAAUGUAGCUAGUAGCCUGGUAGUUAAUAGUUAAUAACUUAGCAUUUAAAAUAAUAGUUGAGAAGCUUAACAUUUAUGACAAUAGUUAAUAAAUGUCUCUAUAUAUCCAAUUUUGGUUUCUCACGGUAUUCCCUAGUUCGACGAGUUAAAGACUAAUCCGUCGUAGAUCAAAGCUUUAUUUAAGACUGGCCAAUGAACUGCUGCAUACACAAGGUAAAAUUUGAACCCUCAACACUUGUUUAAGCGAACUAGUGAACUAACCACUAGACCAACUAACUUAUUUCUAUAUAUCUCUUGAAUGAGAUGAUCCCUUUUUGAAUGAGAUGAAAGCAAUAAAUUCUUUCUCCUAUUUUCUCUACAUUAUUAGUUGCCUAAAUAUAUUUAAACGAGUCCAUGAUUAUUCACACCUGAGGGGUGAUAUAAAGAACUAAGACAAGGAUCUUUGCACAAAAAAAAAAAGAACUUAGUCGAGGAUAAGUUGCGUUCAUAAAGAGACGCAUUUUUAAAAACAAAUGUACUACACAUUUGUACUACAUUCUGAAAACUUUGAACGUAGAAACAAGAUCCAUACUCAGAUAAUCCCUAAAUUAACCAAACAGUACCCAAGCGAGCCACAGGGUGGUGGCAAUAGCCAGAAGGAUUUGGGAUCAAAGAGGUGGCUCCAAACAGCACAACUAACUACUCCGGUUUUUCUCCCAAGAAUACAUAAUUGCGCAACUAAUCAUUAUAUAUAAGCAACAUAACUCAAGCUCAUUGGAAACUGCAAUUUGGCAUACUCAAAAUUUCAAGCUUCUAAAGUGUGUCCCAAUAAAAUUAAAAAAAAAAA